RNAcentral lists this long non-coding RNA (741 nucleotides) under Manihot esculenta (cassava). RNAcentral describes it as "long non-coding RNA (MESC_LNC003341)". Lineage: Eukaryota; Viridiplantae; Streptophyta; Magnoliopsida; Malpighiales; Euphorbiaceae. The record is from RNAcentral.
CACAUGGUGUGAUGUUGCACGAGGCCUCUCCAUUACAACACCACCGUUCAUUGAUAGAACCAUUCUCCGCUGUAGAGACCCACCAACCCCAAAAUUUCAACACGUUGAGUAUGAUAAGCCACUUUCCAUGAGCUCUGACGCCCAAAUCCUAACAUCACAACAAAAUUGUAUUGAAAUCUUUAAGAUCACUCCUCAACAACUUCAAACCUUGAAAAACAAGGUAAAGAAUGUUGAUGGCAAAACAAAGUACACUACCUAUGAGACCUUAACUGCACAUAUAUGGCGUUGCACAUGCAAAGCACGUGCUUUACCUUAUCAUCAACUAACUAAGUUACUCGUACCCGUCGAUGGUCGGUCUAGAUUGCAUCCUCCACUUCCACCUGGCUUUUUUGGUAAUGUAGUCUUUACGGCAACCCUAGUUGUUUUAUCUGGCGAGAUUCUAGCAGAGACACUGAAGGAUACUGUUGAAAGAAUUCAUAACGAAUUAAAGAGGAUGGAUGAUGAGUAUAUGAGAUCGGCGAUUGAUUACUUGGAAGUUUUGGAUGACCUAACACCUACCUUCCGAGGCGCCAAUACUUGUCGAUGCCCAAACCUUAGCAUUGUUAGUUGGAUGAGACUGCCUUUCUAUGAUGCUGAUUUUGGAAUGGGAAAACCCAUAUUUGUGAGGCCUGCAAAUCCACUUGAAGGCAAGGGAAACAUAAUGAGAACUCAAAGUGAUGAUGGAAGUUGCCAAUUGGCCAU